Molecule: long non-coding RNA, 613 nt
Organism: Prunus mume (Japanese apricot)
Lineage: Eukaryota; Viridiplantae; Streptophyta; Magnoliopsida; Rosales; Rosaceae
Source: RefSeq, a predicted model, not a curated record
GGGCCAUAGUUGUGAUCAAGGGAUAAGAACUAAGUUCCAAACAAGAGACAGUUUUUAUAUAAUCAAUGGCUGGUCUCUCUUCCUUCGUCCGCUUUCUCAUUCUGCUUAUGUUCAUUGCAUCCAUCUUGCUCAUGCAUCCAUCUCAGAUUCAUGCAGAUUUGAAGGUGAGCAAAUUUGGCCGGAAAACCAGACCAAGCCCACCCCCUCCUCCAGCAGGUAACUUUCGGAAGCAACAAAGCCCACCACCUCCUCCAAUGGGUGCACCUCUAAUCUAAGACCUGCAGUCUGAUCGAUUUUUCAACCACCUUCCUACUUUCAAUGAAUCUUUUUUUAAAGGAAAUUAAGCCCUUAAGGUAGGCAUCUCCUUUAAAUAUUUGUCCAAUUAAACCCUCUGCAAAAAUCAGCAAAUAGUUUUUCAGUUGUGUGAUUUGUAUUUUGGCCAGAUUGCUAAAAGUGUUUGGGGUUUUAGGAUUCUCUGCAAUUUGGGUUCAUCUAUUCUAUAGUAAUUGGUUAUAACUUGUAUUUUAAGUAUUGACCCUGUGGCUACUUUACUGUCUGGGAAACUCACACACGGGGUAUCAUGGGAUUUGAAACCAAGAACACUUGGAGCAUA